This is a long non-coding RNA of Scomber japonicus (chub mackerel), 1425 nucleotides long. RefSeq lists it as uncharacterized. The transcript has 11 exons. Lineage: Eukaryota; Metazoa; Chordata; Actinopteri; Scombriformes; Scombridae. The record is from RefSeq and is a predicted model, not a curated record.
UCCUGAGCACGCUGCAUGGAAGUCAUGUUAGCAGCUGCAGCAGCUAACAGUAUCUCUGCUCACUUUGUCUUCCAGAUACUGAAGAAACUUCCAGAUCUUCCUGCUGCAGAGGUGUCAGUGGAGCAAGGUGAAACUCAACAUGAAGAUGAGCAGCACUGGUCUAGAGAGUUUAAGGCUCAACCUUGAGAGGUCCGUCUGCACAAUCUGUUCACUGAACUCACCACACCAGCUGAAACAUGCACUGAGGUGGGAGUUUGAUUAGAGGUAUGAGGAUGGAUACCACACUUCAAUGUCUCAACAAGAUCUCUUCAGUGGAUCAUUGAAGAUGAACACAGCAUUGGUUGAAGUUUGACGAUGGUGCAGUGACUCCUUCAGCAGCACCACUGAGCUGUUCUAGAGAUGUUCUAGCUGAAGGUAUCUGUCUGUGGACAUUCAGGAAGAUGCUGUGAUCACUGAAUGGAGUGUCUGCUCAGGUGAGUGAGCUUGUCUGUUACACAGUAACAUGAAGUCCAAAUCACAGCACAAGCAAAAUGGUUUCCUUUAUGAUGACACCCGCACACGUCUUACGCCUUGUGUCAAUGCUAGACCUGAAAAGGUGGACCCACUGGCGUUGCCUUGGCAACAAGGGGAAAACUUGUUGGGGUUACCAACAGUCUGAAUGGAAACAAGCUAACAUGGGUCUGAGAACUGACUUAAAAUGCAGUUAAUAAAAACCUGAGAUGUGGCUGAUUAGACAUUAUAGCCAGUAUCAGAUUUGUAUGAUAGUUACAAAAUGAAUCUGAUCACAUUCCUAUUCUAUGUACCAGCAGACAGGUAUAAAGUGUUGAUCUUUGCUCUUGUUCUUUUUAGGUUGCCAUCAAAUUGUAGAGGUCCUCUGGAUUGUGAGUUGAGGUAAGUAUCUGUUAGUGCUGUCAUGUUUCUCAGCCUUUCUAGAGCAGAAGUGAUGAGUUUCUGUUUACCGCCCCAGUCUGAAGAUUCAUGACUGAUUGGUAUCCUCUGAUCAUGAAAUGUUACAAAAUAGUUUAAUUGAAUGUAAUGAGUCACUGGGGCUCAGUGUUAGUAUCACAAGUGUAAAGGAUGCUCACUAACCUGAACAACUUGUCUCCACCAUUAGGAUCACGCUGCCUGUCAAACUAUCCAUGUGAAGCAAGAUGAUGGAGGUUGCCAUCAAAUUGUAGAGGUCCUCUGGAUUGUGAGUUGAGGUGUCAUCAAAACUGCUGGAUCUGCUACUUUGUGGCAUUUGUGAUGCUGGACACAUCGGAGUGACAACAUGGAAGCUAUCAACCAUCUUCUCCUACAGCUCAAUACACUUCAGAAAACGUGAAGAAUAUUAAACAUGUCAUAACUAAGAAGUUUGUUACUCUGAUAUAUAUUUUGUAUUUAAUACUUUGCUGAUUGAUCUGAGUUUCCAGUGAUCAGUUUUGA